Molecule: non-coding RNA, 208 nt
Organism: Cinara cedri
Lineage: Eukaryota; Metazoa; Arthropoda; Insecta; Hemiptera; Aphididae
Source: the annotation of a GenBank genome assembly
GGUGAUGGUUUCUGGUAAUUAUGUUCGUCUCGUGUUUAUUCAAUAACAGGAGGUUAUGUGUUUGAUUUUACUUUCAGUAUUCUUAAUUAUGGGGAAAAACUCGAGAAAAACGCCGAGAAUACUUUUAGCUAUUACAUUUACCCAGGGUUUAACGGUUUCGAUUAUAUUCUAUGAUGUUUAUUCAGUGAAAAAUAAUCUUAGAGGCCGG